RNAcentral lists this ribosomal RNA (503 nucleotides) under uncultured bacterium. RNAcentral's name for it is "bacterial SSU rRNA". It matches the Rfam family "Bacterial small subunit ribosomal RNA", at positions 28 to 530 of the family's 1533-position model. The record is from RNAcentral.
GACGAACGCUGGCGGCGUGCCUAAUACAUGCAAGUCGAGCGGGGAUUAUGCGUGAUCGCUUCGGUGAGACGGCAUAUAUCCUAGCGGCGGACGGGUGAGUAACGCGUGGGUAAUCUACCUCGUAGUUCGGGAUAACAGGCCGAAAGGCUUGCUAAUACCGGAUGAGUUCAUGCUUAUGCAUAUAGGCAUGAAGAAAGGGCUAGCCCGCUAUGAGAUGAGCCCGCGUCCCAUUAGCUUGUUGGUGGGGUAAUGGCCUACCAAGGCAACGAUGGGUAGCCGGCCUGAGAGGGUGUACGGCCACACUGGGACUGAGACACGGCCCAGACUCCUACGGGGGGCAGCAGUAGGGAAUUUUCGGCAAUGGGCGAAAGCCUGACCGAGCGACGCCGCGUGAGGGACGAAGGCCUUCGGUUGUAAACCUCUGUCUGGGGGAUGAGAACGGACGGUACCCCCGGAGGAAGCCCGGCUAACUACGUGCCAGCAGCCGCGGUAAAGUCACGUCG